CAAUAGCGUAUAUUAAAGUUGUUGCAGUUAAAAAGCUCGUAGUUGGAUUUCUGGCUGGAGCGAUCGGUCCGCCCCGCAAGGGUGGUGUACUAGCGUCGUCUCCGACCAUCCUUGUGGGAACUGUGCGGCCGUUAACUCGGUUGUAUAUGGGAACACAUCGUUUACUGUGAAAAAUUAAGAGUGUUUAAAGACAGGCUUAAGCCGUUGAAUACAUUAGCAUGGAAUAAUAAGAUAAGACUUGGGUCGAUUAUUUUGUUGGUUUGUCGGAUCGAGGUAAUGAUUAAUAGGGAUAGUUGGGGGUAGUUCAUAUUUAAUUGUCAGAGGUGAAAUUACUUGGAUUUGUUAAAGACGGACUACUGCGAAAGCAUUUGCCAAGGAUG
Molecule: ribosomal RNA, 380 nt
Filed under: uncultured eukaryote
Lineage: Eukaryota
Description: bacterial SSU rRNA
Rfam family: Eukaryotic small subunit ribosomal RNA
Source: RNAcentral